Molecule: microRNA precursor, 91 nt
Filed under: Nematostella vectensis (starlet sea anemone)
Lineage: Eukaryota; Metazoa; Cnidaria; Anthozoa; Actiniaria; Edwardsiidae
Description: microRNA nve-mir-2032a precursor
Rfam family: mir-2032 microRNA precursor family (bases 7-83)
Source: miRBase by way of RNAcentral
UCGCGAGCUCACCGUUGCUGUCGCUGCGACAGUUAGCUAGCAUUUAUUGCGAGGUAACUGUUGCAGCAUCCAUGACUGUGAGGUCAGUAUU